Lycium barbarum (goji berry) is the source of this 1932-nucleotide long non-coding RNA. RefSeq lists it as uncharacterized. The transcript is spliced from 2 exons. NCBI's taxonomy places the organism in Eukaryota, Viridiplantae, Streptophyta, Magnoliopsida, Solanales, Solanaceae. The record is from RefSeq and is a predicted model, not a curated record.
AGAAAAUAAAGUGAAAUUGGUUUUUGCCUUUUACAUAAAGUCUUACUACUCUAUUUCUUUUUCAAGUUGUGCAUGUGAAAAAAUAAAGUUGAUCUUUUAGAACUAUAAAAAGUUUUAGUUAUUUAAUAGAGCUUUUAGCCGAUUCACGGACUUUUCUUUCUUUACAAAAUUCUCCUUUCAUAAUUUCCUCAUUCUUUAGUUGAAAUUUUCAACCUUCAUCAUGAUUUUGUUAAUCACUUUUGCGAAGUAACAAUCAGAAAUCAGAUGAUUCAAGUAUGGAAGAUUUGGAGAUCACAAUGAAUCUAGAUUGCUCCCUUUCCGUUCCAGUGAAACUUCCAGCUUCCAUCAAGAUACAUUCUUCGUUAGGGAGGAGCAACUUUAAUGGCUUCCCAAGAUUUGAUUUGGUUAUGCCUUUUUUCCCCCGGAAUUCAGGUUUACUAUUCAAAUUUUGUGAAUCUAGGCUUGGGCUUCCCAAAAACAGGGACAAACUCAAGAACACCAACGAUGUCUACUAUUUGGACUGCCACAAGCAUAGUCAGUGGUUCAACAGCCAUUUCACCCUGAAACACUGAUAAACUGCAAAAUUUUACGACAUUGAGGACCACUUAUCUACAAUCCCUGACAAAAGGGGAUGAGGAGAAGAGAAGGGUGCAAUUUAAUGGUAUCUACAUAUUUUCCACAGCGUUUGACGUCUCUCAGGUCCUCCUUGAAAUACAUCAUUGAAUGUCAAGGCAGUAUCAUCUGCUGCACAAUCCUCAAAUUGGCAGGAUGCAGAGCUUUUAAACCAAAUAAGCAACAUCUCUUCACCUGAGGCCUUAGCUGGGGUGGAGGAUAGAUCCUAUUCCACUUGAUGCCAUCACAUUUUUGUCUUGGAAAAUGUCUCUGAAGCACUUCGAAACAAAGUGAGGCAGCAUGUAACUGCAGAAGCAGCAAUCGCUUCUUCUCAGGGAACAGAUGGAUUUGCAGCUUCUACUGAUUCUUUAGUAGUCUUUCCGAUUAAAUCAUAAUUAAUAGAAGCCAGCUGCGACAAGUUCUGGAAACAUCCAAAGAACAAAGAUGGAAGGCAAAUGAGAUAGAAAGGCACAUUUGAAUGGAAAGAUAUUUGAGUAGUAAUUAAAUCCAUCGUGCCCACUAGUUCCUCUCAAACAGCACCAAGAAUAUCAGGUCAAAUGAGUUUGUCAAUACUCAAAAGACAUGUAAAGAAAAGAAAAAAGAGAUGGCAUCAUGUUCAUAUACAUUACUCAAACAAUAGGGUAAUAGCAAGGCAGCAUUUCUCACCUUAAACGAAAAAUUGCUGAAGGAGUAGUUCACAUUCAGGGAAGGGGUACUAAAGUCGGCUAGAUUACCGCAUUCAUCUCCCUGUUAUGACAAAUUAUGGGUUAGAACAGUGAUAACAACAAUAUAUACCAGCAAUCGUGGGUAUAGAGCAAAGUCUUUGAGUUAUUUAAGUAUCAGAGGGUCAAAGGCAGGCAGGUAUAAACCGGUAGUCCUUCUCUGUUAGAAAGCCAGGUCGUAAUCAAAUUUUAGUCUUUGAAAUGCUAUGCAAAUCUGAGAAACUUAUACCUCUUCAUCCUGUAGAUUGCUGUAUGAACUGCUGCUACAUGUAGCACUGCCACUCUCACUCAACUCAUAAAAAUCGCUACCUCCAUUUACAUUCUCAUCUUCUGGACUCCAAAUGUAACGGCUCAUAAAAUAGCUAGUGUCAUGUGCAUCAGCAGAUGGGACAAACGUAGCCUGUAGAAAGUUAAUUACAGCGUUAUUAUUUACUCCACUGACCAAAUCCUUUUUCUUGGAGAAGUGGAGAGAAGACAGGAAGAGAAAGAAAAACCUUUUGCCUUGCAAGUGUGUCCCAGUUGAUAUGCCUAAAGAAAGGAUGUCGCUUUACCUGUUAAUAUAAGGAGGUAAUAAGAAAUAAACUUGAAUUUUCUUUUA